This 497-nucleotide ribosomal RNA is filed under the name uncultured bacterium. Its description in RNAcentral is "partial 16S ribosomal RNA". It matches the Rfam family "Bacterial small subunit ribosomal RNA", at positions 28 to 507 of the family's 1533-position model. The record is from RNAcentral.
GAUGAACGCUGGCGGCGUGCCUAAUACAUGCAAGUCGAGCGAACAGACGAGGAGCUUGCUCCUCUGACGUUAGCGGCGGACGGGUGAGUAACACGUGGAUAACCUACCUAUAAGACUGGGAUAACUUCGGGAAACCGGAGCUAAUACCGGAUAAUAUAUUGAACCGCAUGGUUCAAUAGUGAAAGACGGUUUUGCUGUCACUUAUAGAUGGAUCCGCGCCGCAUUAGCUAGUUGGUAAGGUAACGGCUUACCAAGGCAACGAUGCGUAGCCGACCUGAGAGGGGUGUCGGCCACACUGGAACUUAGACACGGUCCCGAAUCCUACGGGAGGCAGCAGUAGGGAAUCUUCCGCAAUGGGCGAAAGCCUGACGGGGCAACGCCGCGGGAGGGAUGAAGGUCUUCGGAUCGUAAAACUCUGUUAUUAGGGAAGAACAAAUGUGUAAGUAACUAUGCACGUCUUGACGGUACCUAAUCAGAAAGCCACGGCUAACUACGUG